This 490-nucleotide ribosomal RNA is filed under the name uncultured bacterium. RNAcentral's name for it is "partial 16S ribosomal RNA". It matches the Rfam family "Bacterial small subunit ribosomal RNA", at positions 28 to 507 of the family's 1533-position model. The record is from RNAcentral.
GAUGAACGCUAGCGAUAGGCUUAACACAUGCAAGUCGAGGGGCAGCAUGGUCUUAGCUUGCUAAGGCUGAUGGCGACCGGCGCACGGGUGCGUAACGCGUAUGCAACUUGCCUCACAGAGGGGGAUAACCCGUUGAAAGACGGACUAAUACCGCGUACACUCUAUGUUGGGCAUCCAAUGUAGAGGAAAUGAAAUUCGCUGUGAGAUAGGCAUGCGUCCCAUUAGCUAGUUGGUGAGGUAACGGCUCACCAAGGCGACGAUGGGUAGGGGAACUGAGAGGUUGAACCCCCACACUGGUACUGAGACACGGACCAGACUCCUACGGGAGGCAGCAGUGAGGAAUAUUGGUCAAUGGGCGAGAGCCUGAACCAGCCAAGUCGCGUGAAGGAUGACUGUCUUAUGGAUUGUAAACUUCUUUUAUACGGGAAUAACAAGAGUCACGUGUGGCUCCCUGCAUGUACCGUAUGAAUAAGCAUCGGCUAACUCCGUG